CACGUAGGGUGCAAGCGUUGUUCGGAAUCACUGGGCGUAAAGCGCGUGUAGGCGGUUUGAUAAGUCGAAUGUGAAAGCCCGAGGCUCAACCUCGGAAGUGCAUUCGAAACUGUCUGGCUUGAGGACGGGAGAGGGAAGUGGAAUUCCCGGUGUAGAGGUGAAAUUCGUAGAUAUCAGGAGGAACACCGGUGGCGAAGGCGGCUUCCUGGACCGAUACUGACGCUGAGACGCGAAAGCGUGGGGAGCAAACAGG
RNAcentral lists this ribosomal RNA (253 nucleotides) under uncultured bacterium. RNAcentral's name for it is "partial 16S ribosomal RNA". It matches the Rfam family "Bacterial small subunit ribosomal RNA", at positions 524 to 776 of the family's 1533-position model. The record is from RNAcentral.